UGUAGCUCAGUGGUAGAGCACUUGCCUAGCAUGUGAGAGGUACUAGGUUUUAUCCCUGGCA
RNAcentral lists this transfer RNA (61 nucleotides) under Cavia porcellus (domestic guinea pig). It matches the Rfam family "tRNA", at positions 6 to 65 of the family's 71-position model. From Rfam's summary of the family: Transfer RNA (tRNA) molecules are approximately 80 nucleotides in length. Their secondary structure includes four short double-helical elements and three loops (D, anti-codon, and T loops). Further hydrogen bonds mediate the characteristic L-shaped molecular structure. tRNAs have two regions of fundamental functional importance: the anti-codon, which is responsible for specific mRNA codon recognition, and the 3' end, to which the tRNAs corresponding amino acid is attached (by aminoacyl-tRNA synthetases). tRNAs cope with the degeneracy of the genetic code in two manners: having more than one tRNA (with a specific anti-codon) for a particular amino acid; and 'wobble' base-pairing, i.e. permitting non-standard base-pairing at the 3rd anti-codon position. The record is from Rfam by way of RNAcentral. Lineage: Eukaryota; Metazoa; Chordata; Mammalia; Rodentia; Caviidae.